RNAcentral lists this microRNA precursor (90 nucleotides) under Mus pahari (shrew mouse). RNAcentral describes it as "microRNA 3057 (MGP_PahariEiJ_G0007775.1)". The record is from RNAcentral. Lineage: Eukaryota; Metazoa; Chordata; Mammalia; Rodentia; Muridae.
UGAAGGUGUGUACAUUGGAGCUGAGAUUCUGCGGGAUGGAUAGGAGUACACUGUCCUCCCACAGGCCCAGCUCAUAGCACAAGCCAUCGG